UAUAGAUCUUGCCAUCUUUGUUUGCCAGGUGAUCAGUCAUUUAAAGUAUUUGAGAAACUUGAAGGGAAGCACAUGGCAAAGCCAUAAUUACCUUUUAGUUAUAUUUCAAGUUGUAGGAAAGUUGGAAUCAAUCUGGAAAGCAUCUUUCUAUUGCAGAUAUUUUAUUAGUGGCUUGAAGACUUACACUAUGUUUGAUGUUACAGAAAUAGUGAGGUUAUGCCACAAUGCUGAUAGACUUGGUACUUGUAGGAUGGAGAGGAGAAAACUGAAAAGGAUGUUCAUAUGAGGAAUCCAAGGAAGUGGAAGAGGAAGAAAGUUCUGAUGAUGGUGAUAAUUAGAAUAUCAAGUUUGACGACGAUGAUGAUUGGAACCAAGAGGAGGAAGUACCUGCCGCUAAAACCCACCAAAGAAUUAGCAAGAAAAUUGAUGGUGGGAGCUAGCAAUGCCGGCAGUGCCUCCUUUAGGAUUACAAAAUCGUUAAUCCUAUCUUCGCUUGCAUGUGACUGAUGGUGAUGCUACACAAGUUCUGAAGGCAGUGCCCUCCCCUUCAGCGGGUAACAAGGAUAUAUUAAAAACAUUUUAACUUUCUGACAUAUUAGUUCAACAUUUUUUGCAUAGUACCUAGCAAAAUCAGAAAGUGCACAAACAGAUCUCAUCAAUAUUUUGUGUUUUGCUUGUUCAGUCUUUUGAGGUAACUUCUAUUGUGUAUUCCAUUCUCUUCAGGAGAUCUUGCUGGUUCUGCAUGGCACAACUGGAUUAAAUAUGCUACAGCAAGCGAAGGAGUUCAACGAUGUUGUUGGAAUCAAAGGAUUCAUCCUAACGAAAUUAGACAGGACUGCUCGUGUUGGCUGUGUGGUGAGUGUUAAUAGACGAACUUGGAGUUCCAGCCAAGUUUGUUGGCGUCGGCGAAGGGGUGAAGAUCUCCAACCUUUUGAUGCAGAAGCAUUUGUUGAAGCCAUUUUCCCAUAAAUUUGACCCAGUUAUUAGCGUUUCUCAUGUAACAAGAUUUUGGCUAACAUGCUACUCCCUUCGUUUCUAAAUAUAUGACUUUUUAGGAAUUCUAAUAUGGACUACAUACGAAGAAAAAUGAGUGAAUCUACACUCUAGAAUAUGUCUACAUUCAUCUGUAUGUAGUCCAUAUUCAAAUCACUAAAAAGACCUAUAUUUAGGAGUGGAGGGAGUAGAACUUGGUAGAAGCAAUUAUUUCAACAAUUACAGUUUUUUUGGUUCAGUCGUCGACUCAUCUGCCUGACUUGUUUCUGUCGUUGAUCCUAACUAUUCAUACAGAAACAGAAGCAAGUAUUUGUGAUAUUAUAUGUUUCUUGUGAUUAAGCUCAAGGCACGUUGCAGAUACAUUGAGCAAGAGUACUAACAGAGAAGAGGAAUUUUUCUUUUCAGACUAGCAUGAUACAAGAAUAUUUCAUUAAUAGUCAUACAUUCAUAACAUAUAUCUUGAAUCAUAAAUGCUUCCACGUUCGAUUUUGAGUCCUAAGAAAAAAGAUCCUCAUGUGAAACUUCUUAAGAUGAAAGUACUUCCAUGUUGGAUCUUUUUUCUUAAUUAGGUGAUAUCAUUUGAUACCAUGCUUGAUUUGUACUACUACUUAAAAAUUAG
Molecule: non-coding RNA, 1612 nt
Organism: Aegilops tauschii subsp. strangulata
Lineage: Eukaryota; Viridiplantae; Streptophyta; Magnoliopsida; Poales; Poaceae
Source: RefSeq, a predicted model, not a curated record